Molecule: ribosomal RNA, 1548 nt
Filed under: Norrisiella sphaerica
Lineage: Eukaryota; Cercozoa; Chlorarachniophyceae
Description: eukaryotic LSU rRNA
Rfam family: Eukaryotic large subunit ribosomal RNA (bases 735-1548)
Source: RNAcentral
GUCGUAACAAGGUUUCCGUAGGUGAACCUGCGGAAGGAUCAUUAACACGUAUCCAACGUUUUUUAUAUCUACCUUUGUGAACCGGUUAUCCGUGAACCUUUUUGGAUUCUUUGUACCUCAAACUCCUGUAAUGGGAAUUUUGCCGUAUUGGCUGAAUUUUAUAUACAUACUUUUUCGAUGACAGUCUGGUUGUUGUGUAUCGACACCAGUACUUGAAACGAGACCACAUGACCCUUAGCGAAGGAUGUCUUGGUUCCGGCAACGAUGAAGAACGCAGCGAAAUGCGAAACGUAAUGCGAAUUGCAGAACUCAGUGAAUCAUCAAAUCUUUGAACGCAAAUUGCGCUCCCGGGAUUUAUCGGCGGGAGCAUGCCUCCUUCAGUGUCGCGUCUACCAAUCUCACCGACGUGUGACGUGUGCGUGCGCACGGUUCUGUUCGCGUGGAGAGUGAGUCACACACACUGUUUGUAUGUGAUAUGUGUGGCUUGAAGACGAUUGGUUGCUGUCGUUCUUCCGGAGUCUGACUCCGGGAGACCUGCGCCUCUGCCCUGUGAGCACGUGUGAAUUGCAGUGCGUCGGGACGAUGUGGGUAGCCUUUAUAUAAAAUGGACGAAACAUUGUGUUCUGGCGUCUUUCGCUGCGUGCGCUCGGGUUUGGGUUAUAUAUUAUAUUUUGCGGAGAACAGCGUGACCGCCAACGACUGACGAGAGGGGGAGCGAUCCCUCUCUUUACAAUUGACCUGAAGUGAGGUAAGAGGACCGGCCGAAUUUAAGCAUAUUAAUAAGCCGAGGAAAAGAAACUAACAAGGAUUCCCCUAGUAACGGCGAGUGAAGCGGGAAGAGCUCAAGUUGAAAAGCCUGAACCGUUUGGUUUAGGCGUUGUAAGCUGAUGAGCGGACUCAGUGGAAGCCGUCCCGGGGACAAGUCGCUUGGAACAGCGCGUGCAUAGAGGGUGAGAGCCCCGUACAGGCCCCGGUGAACAACCACGGACGAGUUUGUUUCGAGGAGUCGUGUUGUUUGGGAUUACAGCACUAAGCGGGAGGUAAGCUUCUUCCAAGGCUAAAUAUCAGCCGGAGACCGAUAGCGAACAAGUACCGUGAGGGAAAGAUGAAAAGAACUUUGGAAAGAGAGUUAAAAAGUACCUGAAAUUGCUAAGGGGGAAGUGAUGGAAAGUAACAGUGGCGGACGAGAUAAGUGUGAGGUGCGUUCCUGUCCUAUGGCGUGGUCAAACCGCCGGAUGGGUAGCGCCGAGCUCGUGCUCUACGCCGUGUCAGCCCGGCUUUGACUCGCGGGAGAAGGCCUAGCCUGUUGGCGACGGCGUAUGCCGUGGGUGGGAGUUGUGGCUGGCGAAAUGGUUUUCAUCGACCCGUCUUGAAACACGGACCAAGGAGUCUAACAUGUGUGCGAGUGUUUGGGUGUAAAACCCUGACGCGGAAUGAAAGUGAAAGGGUGGGAACCUUUGCGGGGGCACCACCGACCGGCCUUUCGUUGGAUUGGUCUGAGUAAGAGCAGAUAUGUUGGGACCCGAAAGAUGGUGAACUAUGCGUGAA